GAACGAACGCUGGCGGCAGGCCUAACACAUGCAAGUCGAGCGGGGGAGCAAUCCCUAGCGGCGGACGGGUUAGUAACGCGUGGGAAUCUGCCCCUUGGUUCGGAAUAACAGCGAGAAAUUGCUGCUAAUACCGGAUAAUGACGUAAGUCCAAAGAUUUAUCGCCAAGGGAUGAGCCCGCGUAGGAUUAGCUAGUUGGUGUGGUAAAGGCGCACCAAGGCGACGAUCCUUAGCUGGUCUGAGAGGAUGAUCAGCCACACUGGGACUGAGACACGGCCCAGACUCCUACGGGAGGCAGCAGUGGGGAAUAUUGGACAAUGGGCGAAAGCCUGAUCCAGCAAUGCCGCGUGAGUGAUGAAGGCCUUCGGGUCGUAAAGCUCUUUUACCAGGGAUGAUAAUGACAGUACCUGGAGAAUAAGCUCCGGCUAACUCCGUG
This 434-nucleotide ribosomal RNA is filed under the name uncultured bacterium. RNAcentral describes it as "bacterial SSU rRNA". It matches the Rfam family "Bacterial small subunit ribosomal RNA", at positions 27 to 507 of the family's 1533-position model. The record is from RNAcentral.